Empidonax traillii (willow flycatcher) is the source of this 168-nucleotide long non-coding RNA. RefSeq lists it as uncharacterized. The record is from RefSeq and is a predicted model, not a curated record. The transcript has 3 exons. NCBI's taxonomy places the organism in Eukaryota, Metazoa, Chordata, Aves, Passeriformes, Tyrannidae.
UUCUGGUGGUGCUGGGUUGACAACUGGACUAGAAGAUCUUGAAGGUCUCUUCCAACCUUGAUUAUUCUGUGCUUCUGUGAUCUGUCAUCCCUGUUUGCAGCUUUGUGCUCUAACAAGACCCUGGGGAUGUUUUCUUUGCUGGGUCCCUCACAGAGCUUGAGUUGUGUG